GCUCCCUGGGUUAGGCGGAAGAUUCAAAAGUUCAGGGGAACAAAGGGUCAGCGAAACAUUUUAUCUCCACCAACAGUCUCCCUCCUCUCCAUCAUAACAUCCACCGCUUCACCACAUUCGUCCUCAACCCUGCCUCGUUCCUUUUCAUCUCCCUUUCUUACCUCUGUCUCCGCUAUGACAUCUGGGGACAUGCCUUCUGGAGAAAUGCCAUCUGGGGACGUGUCAUCUGGGGACGUGUCAUCUGGGGACAUGUCAUCUGGGGACAUGUCUUCUGGGGACAUGUCUUCUGGAAGCGUUGAAGAUAAGACCAUCUAGUAAAAGUUAUCUGAUCAUCAACACCAAAACAAGCAGAUUUACUUUGGGAAACUUGAAGAACUUAUUUAUGUUAAAUUGCUUUAGGAUUUUAAAAUUAUUUAUUUGGUGAAACAUUUUUUUUUGCUGUUGAUGCAGUGAAGGAUAAUAUUUAUUAUCUCUUGUAUUUAUAAAAAUUUUGAGUAAUUUAUGAAAUGGUUAUGAUAUGGCUGCAAGUUUCCUAACUCACUCAUACAUUUAUGAAACUGUUUGAGAAUUUGAAAGCUUUGUUCUUAGAGGAAAAUAUCUGCAAAAUAAAAAAAACUCUUUUAUUAAUAA
This is a long non-coding RNA of Cyprinodon tularosa, 630 nucleotides long. RefSeq lists it as uncharacterized. The transcript is spliced from 2 exons. NCBI's taxonomy places the organism in Eukaryota, Metazoa, Chordata, Actinopteri, Cyprinodontiformes, Cyprinodontidae. The record is from RefSeq and is a predicted model, not a curated record.